AUUGAACGCUGGCGGCAUGCCUUACACAUGCAAGUCGAACGGCAGCGCGGGGCAACCUGGCGGCGAGUGGCGAACGGGUGAGUAACAUAUCGGAACAUACCCUAGAGUGGGGGAUAACGUAGCGAAAGUUACGCUAAUACCGCAUACGAUCUAAGGAUGAAAGUGGGGGAUCUUCGGACCUCAUGCUCAUGGAGUGGCCGAUAUCUGAUUAGCUAGUUGGUGAGGUAAAGGCUCACCAAGGCGACGAUCAGUAGCUGGUUUGAGAGAACGACCAGCCACACUGGAACUGAGACACGGUCCAGACUCCUACGGGAGGCAGCAGUGGGGAAUUUUGGACAAUGGGGGCAACCCUGAUCCAGCAAUGCCGCGUGAGUGAAGAAGGCCUCGGUUGUAAGCUCUUUGUCUAGGAGAACGGUGAGUCUAUACAGCUUGCUAAU
Molecule: ribosomal RNA, 437 nt
Filed under: uncultured bacterium
Lineage: Bacteria
Description: bacterial SSU rRNA
Rfam family: Bacterial small subunit ribosomal RNA
Source: RNAcentral